Molecule: ribosomal RNA, 913 nt
Filed under: uncultured archaeon
Lineage: Archaea
Description: bacterial SSU rRNA
Rfam family: Archaeal small subunit ribosomal RNA
Source: RNAcentral
CGGUUGAUCCUGCCGGAGGCCACCGCUAUUGGAAUUCGAUUAAGCCAUGCGAGUCGAGAGAAUUCGGAUCUCGGCAGACGUCUCAGUAACACGCGAACAAUCUGCCCUCGAGAGGGGGAUAAGCUCGGGAAACUGAGCAUAAUACCCCAUAGGCCAUGGGUGCUGGAAUGCCCCAUGGCCGAAAUGCUCCGGCGCUCGAGGAUGAGUUUGCGGCCUAUCAGGUUGUUGGGGGUGUAACGGACCCCCAAACCUUCGACGGGUACGGGCCUUGAGAGAGGUUGCCCGGAGUUGGACUCUGAGACACGAGUCCAGGCCCUACGGGGCGCAGCAGGCGCGAAAACUUCACAAUGCGAGAAAUCGCGAUGAGGGAAUUCCAAGUGCCAGCACACUGUGCUGGCUUUUCUCCUGCCUAAAAAGCAGGUGGAGUAAGGGCUGGGUAAGACGGGUGCCAGCCGCCGCGGUAAUACCCGCAGCCCGAGUGGUGGCCGUGAUUAUUGAGCCUACAGCGUCCGUAGUCGGCCCGGUAAAUCUCUGGGUAAAUCGGGCGGCUUAACCGUCCGAAUUCCGGAGAGACUGCCGGGCUUGGGACCGGGGGAGGUCGGAGGUACUCCCGGGGUAGGGGUGAAAUCCUGUAAUCCUGGGAGGACCACCAGUGGCGAAGGCGUCCGACUAAAACGGAUCCGACGAUAAGGGACGAAGCCCUGGGGCGCAAUCUUGGGUGCAAGGCCAAGAUAAGCCUUGCACCGCGAGGCGUAAACGGGAUUAGAUACCCCGGUAGUCCAGGGUGUAAACGCUACAGGCUUGGUGUUGGGGAUCCUACGAGGAUGCCCAGUGCCGGAGAGAAGUUGUUAAGCCUGUCGCUUGGGGAGUACGGCCGCAAGGCUGAAACUUAAAGGAAUUGGCGGGGGAGCAC